AAAGUCCCUGUGUGUCAACCUCUGUGCCUCGUGGCAAGGUAGACUAGCAAACAUGCCCAACCUUUACUCACAUUCGAGAAAACACUCCCAAUAAGAUUGCUUGCUCCAAAAUCGAAGAGGCACCGUCCUCCGAAUCUCGAGAGCCAGACUCCCAACAUGACUACUUUCUCAAAAAUCGAAGAGAGGGUAAAGGAACAGUACCAUUGCUGGAUAAUUGGAAAGUCCUUGUGUGUCAACCUCUGUGCUUCGUGGCAAGGUAGACUAGCAAACAUGCCCAACCUUUACUCACAUUUGAGAAAACACUCCCAACAAGAUUGCUUGCUCCAAAAUCGAAGAGGCACCACCCUCCGAAUCUCGAGAGCCAGACUCCCAACACGAUUACUUUCUCAAAAAUCGAAGAGACACUGCUCCCCGAAUCUCGAGAGCCAGACUCCCAGCAUGAUUGCUUUCUCAAAAAUCGAAGAGGCAUCGUUCUCCGAAUCAAUCGAAG
RNAcentral lists this long non-coding RNA (490 nucleotides) under Malus domestica (apple). RNAcentral describes it as "long non-coding RNA (MDOM_LNC006936)". The record is from RNAcentral. Lineage: Eukaryota; Viridiplantae; Streptophyta; Magnoliopsida; Rosales; Rosaceae.